UAGAUGCGAGAGUAGAGCAUAUCAAUAAGCGGAGGAAAAGAAACUAACAAGGAUUCCCUUAGUAACGGCGAGUGAAGCGGGAAGAGCUCAAAUUUGAAAUCUUCAAGGUUCUACCUUGACGAAUUGUAGUUUAAAGAAGUGUUUUCUGUUAGAUGAGUAGCAAAAGUUCCUUGGAAUGGGACAGUCAUAGAGGGUGAGAAUCCCGUAUUUGGUUAUUCAUUCUAGCUUUGUGAUACACUUUCAAAGAGUCGGAUUGUUUGGGAAUGCAGUCCAAAAUGGGUGGUAAAUUUCAUCUAAAGCUAAACUAUUGGCGAGAGACCGAUAGCGAACAAGUACCGUGAGGGAAGGAUGAAAAGAACUUUGAAAAGAGAGUUAAACAGUACGUGAAAUUGUCAAAAGGGAAGCGUUUGACACCAGUGUUGUUUUUCCCGAAAAUCAAUUACGAAUGGCUUGAUUUUGUGUUGUAUUGACCUUAUCAGCUUUCUGCACUUUUUUCGAGUCUUUCUUAAUGCACUUUUCGGUUAACAAGUCAACAUCAAUUUCUUUUGUUGUAAAAGAGUAUUCGGAGGGUGGCUUUCUUUUCGGAGAAAGUGUUUAUAGCCCUAUACUUCUACAAUCGGAGAGAUUGAGGUCUGCAGCGUAGAUCCUUCGGGGUUAGAUACACUUGUGCUAAGUUGUAGCUUUUCAUAGACAACUUGUUGACUAUGUUUAGUCAUGCGGCUUACUCGCUUAUGCUAUUUUACCUACGCUUAGGAUGUUGAGCGCAUGUCUCUCUCU
RNAcentral lists this ribosomal RNA (777 nucleotides) under uncultured Neocallimastigales. RNAcentral describes it as "partial large subunit ribosomal RNA". It matches the Rfam family "Eukaryotic large subunit ribosomal RNA", at positions 22 to 642 of the family's 3401-position model. Lineage: Eukaryota; Fungi; Neocallimastigomycota; Neocallimastigomycetes; Neocallimastigales. The record is from RNAcentral.